Molecule: ribosomal RNA, 618 nt
Filed under: uncultured Alphaproteobacteria bacterium
Lineage: Bacteria; Pseudomonadati; Pseudomonadota; Alphaproteobacteria
Description: bacterial SSU rRNA
Rfam family: Bacterial small subunit ribosomal RNA
Source: RNAcentral
AACGAACGCUGGCGGCAGGCCUAAUACAUGCAAGUCGAGCGCGCCCUUCGGGGUGAGCGGCGGACGGGUGAGUAACGCGUGGGAAUAUGCCCUUCUCUAAGGAAUAGCCUCUGGAAACGGAGAGUAAUACCUUAUACGCCCUUUGGGGGAAAGAUUUAUCGGAGAAGGAUUAGCCCGCGUUAGAUUAGGUAGUUGGUGGGGUAAUGGCCUACCAAGCCUACGAUCUAUAGCUGGUUUGAGAGGAUGAUCAGCCACACUGGGACUGAGACACGGCCCAGACUCCUACGGGAGGCAGCAGUAGGGAAUCUUAGACAAUGGGGGCAACCCUGAUCUAGCCAUGCCGCGUGUGUGAUGAAGGCCCUAGGGUCGUAAAGCACUUUCGCCAGAGAUGAUAAUGACAGUAUCUGGUAAAGAAACCCCGGCUAACUCCGUGCCGGCAGCCGCGGUAAUACGGAGGGGGUUAGCGUUGUUCGGAAUUACUGGGCGUAAAGCGCACGUAGGCGGAUUAGUAAGUUAGAGGUGAAAUCCCAGGGCUCAACCCUGGAACUGCCUUUAAUACUGCUAGUCUUGAGUUCGAGAGAGGUAAGUGGAAUUCCGAGUGUAGAGGUGAAAUUCGUA